Molecule: ribosomal RNA, 497 nt
Filed under: uncultured bacterium
Lineage: Bacteria
Description: partial 16S ribosomal RNA
Rfam family: Bacterial small subunit ribosomal RNA
Source: RNAcentral
GAUGAACGCUGGCGGCGUGCCUAAUACAUGCAAGUCGAGCGAACGGACGAGAAGCUUGCUUCUCUGAUGUUAGCGGCGGACGGGUGAGUAACACGUGGAUAACCUACCUAUAAGACUGGGAUAACUUCGGGAAACCGGAGCUAAUACCGGAUAAUAUUUUGAACCGCAUGGUUCAAAAGUGAAAGACGGUCUUGCUGUCACUUAUAGAUGGAUCCGCGCUGCAUUAGCUAGUUGGUAAGGUAACGGCUUACCAAGGCAACGAUGCAUAGCCGACCUGAGAGGGUGAACGGCCACACUGGAACUGAGACACGGUCCAGAAUCCUACGGGAGGCAGCAGUAGGGAAUCUUCCGCAAUGGGCGAAAGCCUGACGGAGCAACGCCGCGUGAGUGAUGAAGGUCUUCGGAUCGUAAAACUCUGUUAUUAGGGAAGAGCAUAUGUGUAAGUAACUGUGCACAUCUUGACGGUACCUAAUCAGAAAGCCACGGCUAACUACGUG